This is a non-coding RNA of Parelaphostrongylus tenuis, 71 nucleotides long. Lineage: Eukaryota; Metazoa; Nematoda; Chromadorea; Rhabditida; Metastrongylidae. The record is from the annotation of a GenBank genome assembly.
GCCUCGGUGGUGUAGUGGUGGUAGCACGCGUCUCCGAAUGGAUAUUGCAGGUUCGAUUCCCGCCUGAGGCC